This 253-nucleotide ribosomal RNA is filed under the name uncultured bacterium. Its description in RNAcentral is "partial 16S ribosomal RNA". It matches the Rfam family "Archaeal small subunit ribosomal RNA", at positions 474 to 727 of the family's 1478-position model. The record is from RNAcentral.
UACCAGCACCCCGAGUGGUCGGGACGAUUAUUGGGCCUAAAGCAUCCGUAGCCGGUUUUACAAGUCCUCCGUUAAAUCCAGCUGCUUAACAGAUGGGCUGCGGAGGAUACUAUAAGACUAGGAGGUAGGAGAGGCAAGCGGUACUCAGUGGGUAGGGGUAAAAUCCGUUGAUCCAUUGAAGACCACCAGUGGCGAAGGCGGCUUGCCAGAAUGCGCUCGACGGUGAGGGAUGAAAGCUGGGGGAGCAAACCGG